GGGAGAAGCUGAGAGUUGGAAGUUUUCUCCUGAUUUCACUGCACCUGUACCAAGGGAAGGGCUCUGGCAAGUGAAUGCUGCCUUUCGUUUCAUCAACCACUGAAAAUCCUGCUUCACAAAGAUAUGACAUCCUGAAAAGGAAAGUAGAUGGAACUAAGGGUGAAACCAGGAAGUGCCUUGGCUAACUCCAGAGACUAAACCUCCCAUCACCUUCAAGAUCACCUGUGUGUGCAGAGGAGAAGAGAAUUUCCUUUGGUACAAGUGCUCUGUCAAGAGAAUUUCAGCCAAUUUUUCUCUUUCAGCUCAGUGCUUGACCCUACCUUCAGGAGUACAGUAAAUCCCUGAGCACUGAGAUUCUCAGAGUUCCUCUGGGGCCAGUCAUUUGACUACACAUCCACAUAAGGUCUGGGUUCAGUUGCUCUGCUUUCUAAAUUAGUUGUCUUCCCUCUGUUGCUUUCUGAUUCCCAAUAAAGCUGUCAAUAUCUUUAAUCAA
Galeopterus variegatus (Sunda flying lemur) is the source of this 493-nucleotide long non-coding RNA. RefSeq lists it as uncharacterized. Lineage: Eukaryota; Metazoa; Chordata; Mammalia; Dermoptera; Cynocephalidae. The transcript has 2 exons. The record is from RefSeq and is a predicted model, not a curated record.